This is a transfer RNA of Salpingoeca sp., 72 nucleotides long. It matches the Rfam family "tRNA". From Rfam's summary of the family: Transfer RNA (tRNA) molecules are approximately 80 nucleotides in length. Their secondary structure includes four short double-helical elements and three loops (D, anti-codon, and T loops). Lineage: Eukaryota; Choanoflagellata; Craspedida; Salpingoecidae. The record is from Rfam.
AGCGAUUUAGCUCAGCGGAAGAGCGUGGGUCUCAUAAUCCCAAGGUCGGCGGAUCGAAACCGCCAAUCGCUA